This 649-nucleotide ribosomal RNA is filed under the name Sooglossus thomasseti (Thomasset's Seychelles frog). Its description in RNAcentral is "partial 16S ribosomal RNA". The stretch from base 39 to 155 matches the Rfam family "Bacterial large subunit ribosomal RNA", at positions 714 to 852 of the family's 2925-position model. Lineage: Eukaryota; Metazoa; Chordata; Amphibia; Anura; Sooglossidae. The record is from RNAcentral.
CCAGUCUAAUAUAAGCAAAACGACUUACAGUUUAACCUCCCGAAACUAAAUGAGCUACUCUAAGGCAGCCUUCAGGGCUAACUCAUCCCUGUUGCAAAAGGGUGAAAAGACCUUAUAGUAGAGGCGACAAACCUACCGAAUUUAGUGAUAGCUGGUUGCUUAAGAAAAGAACCUAAAUUCAACCUUAAACACAACACAACACAACUAAGUACCCAAAAACUUUAAGAGCCAUUCAAGCAAGGUACAGCUUGCCUGAAAAAGGAUACAACCUACCAACAAGGGUAACGUCCCAGCACUCAACACAUAAGUAGGCCCAAAAGCAGCCACCUUCCAAGACAGCGUCACAGCUCACCUUCAAAACCAAAAAAAUCCCUCCAACACUACAGAACCCUAACACACCAUUAAGCAAUCCUAUUUUCUCAUAUGAACUAUUAUGCUAAAACUAGUAAUAAGGGCAUCAGCCCCUCUUUAAUGCAAACAUACAUCAGCACGGACAAACCACCGAUACUUAACACCCGCUAAUCCCGCAGCUACAACAAAACACACAAGAAAAUUUACCUAAACCAAACGUUAACCUAACACAAGCGCAUUACAAGAAAGAUUGCAAGGAAAAGAAGGAACUCGGCAAAUUUCAGCCUCGCCUGUUUAC